CCUUAUNCAUGCAAGUCGAGCGGACAGAUGGGAGCUUGCUCCCUGAUGUUAGCGGCGGACGGGUGAGUAACACGUGGGUAACCUGCCUGUAAGACUGGGAUAACUCCGGGAAACCGGGGCUAAUACCGGAUGGUUGUUUGAACCGCAUGGUUCAAACAUAAAAGGUGGCUUCGGCUACCACUUACAGAUGGACCCGCGGCGCAUUAGCUAGUUGGUGAGGUAACGGCUCACCAAGGCAACGAUGCGUAGCCGACCUGAGAGGGUGAUCGGCCACACUGGGACUGAGACACGGCCCAGACUCCUACGGGAGGCAGCAGUAGGGAAUCUUCCGCAAUGGACGAAAGUCUGACGGAGCAACGCCGCGUGAGUGAUGAAGGUUUUCGGAUCGUAAAGCUCUGUUGUUAGGGAAGAACAAGUACCGUUCGAAUAGGGCGGUACCUUGACGGUACCUAACCAGAAAGCCACGGCUAACUACGUGCCAGCAGCCGCGGUAAUACGUAGGUGGCAAGCGUUGUCCGGAAUUAUUGGGCGUAAAGGGCUCGCAGGCGGUUUCUUAAGUCUGAUGUGAAAGCCCCCGGCUCAACCGGGGAGGGUCAUUGGAAACUGGGGAACUUGAGUGCAGAAGAGGAGAGUGGAAUUCCACGUGUAGCGGUGAAAUGCGUAGAGAUGUGGAGGAACACCAGUGGCGAAGGCGACUCUCUGGUCUGUAACUGACGCUGAGGAGCG
Molecule: ribosomal RNA, 726 nt
Filed under: Bacillus subtilis
Lineage: Bacteria; Bacillati; Bacillota; Bacilli; Caryophanales; Bacillaceae
Description: bacterial SSU rRNA
Rfam family: Bacterial small subunit ribosomal RNA
Source: RNAcentral